RNAcentral lists this transfer RNA (74 nucleotides) under Gracilaria spinulosa. RNAcentral describes it as "tRNA-Arg". It matches the Rfam family "tRNA". Rfam says of the family: Transfer RNA (tRNA) molecules are approximately 80 nucleotides in length. Their secondary structure includes four short double-helical elements and three loops (D, anti-codon, and T loops). The record is from RNAcentral. Lineage: Eukaryota; Rhodophyta; Florideophyceae; Gracilariales; Gracilariaceae. RNAcentral also lists the same sequence under 1 other name.
GGGCCUGUAGCUCAGUGGAUUAGAGCACGUGGCUACGAACCACGGUGUCGGGGGUUCAAAUCCCUCCUCGCCCG